RNAcentral lists this ribosomal RNA (1474 nucleotides) under uncultured bacterium. Its description in RNAcentral is "bacterial SSU rRNA". It matches the Rfam family "Bacterial small subunit ribosomal RNA". The record is from RNAcentral.
GAGAGUUUGAUCCUGGCUCAGGACGAACGCUGGCGGCGCGCCUAACACAUGCAAGUCGAACGAGCAAAGAGGAGCUUGCUUCUCUGAGCGAGUGGCGAACGGGUGAGUAACGCGUGAGGAACCUGCCUCAAAGAGGGGGACAACAGUUGGAAACGACUGCUAAUACCGCAUAAGCCCACGGGUCGGCAUCGACCAGAGGGAAAAGGAGCAAUCCGCUUUGAGAUGGCCUCGCGUCCGAUUAGCUAGUUGGUGAGGUAACGGCCCACCAAGGCGACGAUCGGUAGCCGGACUGAGAGGUUGAACGGCCACAUUGGGACUGAGACACGGCCCAGACUCCUACGGGAGGCAGCAGUGGGGAAUAUUGCACAAUGGGGGAAACCCUGAUGCAGCGACGCCGCGUGGAGGAAGAAGGUCUUCGGAUUGUAAACUCCUGUUGUUGAGGAAGACAAUGACGGUACUCAACAAGGAAGUGACGGCUAACUACGUGCCAGCAGCCGCGGUAAAACGUAGGUCACAAGCGUUGUCCGGAAUUACUGGGUGUAAAGGGAGCGCAGGCGGGAAGACAAGUUGGAAGUGAAAUCCAUGGGCUCAACCCAUGAACUGCUUUCAAAACUGUUUUUCUUGAGUAGUGCAGAGGUAGGCGGAAUUCCCGGUGUAGCGGUGGAAUGCGUAGAUAUCGGGAGGAACACCAGUGGCGAAGGCGGCCUACUGGGCACCAACUGACGCUGAGGCUCGAAAGUGUGGGUAGCAAACAGGAUUAGAUACCCUGGUAGUCCACACCGUAAACGAUGAUUACUAGGUGUUGGAGGAUUGACCCCUUCAGUGCCGCAGUUAACACAAUAAGUAAUCCACCUGGGGAGUACGACCGCAAGGUUGAAACUCAAAGGAAUUGACGGGGGCCCGCACAAGCAGUGGAGUAUGUGGUUUAAUUCGACGCAACGCGAAGAACCUUACCAAGUCUUGACAUCCUGCGACGGACAUAGAAAUAUGUCUUUCCUUCGGGACGCAGAGACAGGUGGUGCAUGGUUGUCGUCAGCUCGUGUCGUGAGAUGUUGGGUUAAGUCCCGCAACGAGCGCAACCCUUAUGGUCAGUUACUACGCAAGAGGACUCUGGCCAGACUGCCGUUGACAAAACGGAGGAAGGUGGGGAUGACGUCAAAUCAUCAUGCCCUUUAUGACUUGGGCUACACACGUACUACAAUGGCGUUAAACAAAGGGAAGCGAGCCCGCGAGGGGGAGCAAAUCCCAAAAAUAACGUCCCAGUUCGGACUGCAGUCUGCAACUCGACUGCACGAAGCUGGAAUCGCUAGUAAUCGCGAAUCAGAAUGUCGCGGUGAAUACGUUCCCGGGUCUUGUACACACCGCCCGUCACACCAUGGGAGUCAGUAACGCCCGAAGUCAGUGACCCAACCUUAGGGAGGGAGCUGCCGAAGGCGGGAUUGAUAACUGGGGUGAAGUCGUAACAAGGUAGCCG